Molecule: transfer RNA, 72 nt
Filed under: Daphnia pulex (common water flea)
Lineage: Eukaryota; Metazoa; Arthropoda; Branchiopoda; Diplostraca; Daphniidae
Rfam family: tRNA
About the family: Transfer RNA (tRNA) molecules are approximately 80 nucleotides in length. Their secondary structure includes four short double-helical elements and three loops (D, anti-codon, and T loops).
Source: Rfam by way of RNAcentral
GGGGGUAUAUCUCAGUGGAAGAGCAUUUGACUGUAGAUCAUUAUGUCCCCGGUUCAACCCCGGAUGCCCCCU